AUGACCCAGACGCACAGGGCGCGGGCAGCCGCGGGGGAACGCGGCCAGGGCCCCUGCCCUUCCCUUCCCCUCUUCACCGGCUCUGCUCGCGUCCCGCCCCGCGCCCGCACUCUGGGGUCCCACCCCCAGCACAGUUUUCCCUCCCGGGAGCUCUGGAUCUCCCCUCCCCCGCUCCCGGUUUCCUUGUCAAAACUUCCUGCCUUGGCCAGGGCCCGAGUUCCCACCCCCUUCCUGCCCCCCCGCCCCUCCGCGCCCCUCCCCGUCCUGCGAUCCGCGUCCUUCGGCCUCUGCGCUGCGGCUCUCGCAGUCGGGCUGGGGCUCCGUGCGGGGGCCCUCGCUGUAGUCCUCGGCCCCUCUAGGCCGGCGGUCCCCACCCCAAGCCUGCGGAUUCAAGGGGCCCGGACAGGCUCUAUGUCCUGAGCGCGGGGACCUCCGGGACACUCUCAGCCUCCCAGGCCCCUGCCAACCCUUGGUGCACCUGAAUCCCUCAGGGCCCUGCUGGUGAGUUCUCAGGGGCUGGGGUGGGGGGGAGGUGGAGGCUUGCCCUGGAGAGGGUGACUCGGGCAGGGUGGCCUGGGUGGCCUGGGGGCACCGCAGCUCGGCAGGUCUGAGGCUGCAGGGAGGGGGAGGCAGCUGUGCUCGGGCUGGAGGAAGGGUAGGGGCGCAGCGGGUGAGAUGAGGUUAAGCUAGGGAGCCCCUCUCUCACUCCCAGGCCUGCAGGGAAGCGGAGGGGGCUGUGGCGACCCUGGGAGUGCGGGGGUGGGGGGCGGGGUGGGGCCGGGAGCAGGCAUUCCAGAGAUCCUUAUGGGGAUAAGGGGCCAGCACGCAUGACCUUUCUUCUUGGAGAAAUUAUAAGCAGAUGUCGGCGCCUCAGGGAAGUAGAGAGCGGGAGCCGGGCCGGGUUUCAGGAAUGCUGUGGAGUGGCCUGCAGGGCCAGGCCUGCCCACCCACGGGUGGGUGAGGCCAGGGCUGUGGAGACACAGCUGGUGGGCAGAGGAAGGAGGGGGCUUCUCUUUACAUCCGCGCCAGGUUGGGCACCUGCUCAGGUGACAGCACCGGAAGUGGGCGGCAAAUAUCUAGCAACCGGCCCUGGGCGUGGGGAGAAGCCUCCCACGGCCGAGUUCCAGGGACGCCACCUGGGCACCUGGCAGGAGGAAGUCCCUGGAGGAAAUCCGUAGCAGUAAACAGAGGCCCCCAGCCACGGCAGGCUACCUUCCAUCUCCCGGGGGGUGGUCUCCGGGCAGCGGCCAGUUAGCGCCUGGCUCUUCCUGCCUGCCCACCGCUCCCUUGCGGUGUACUGACUAGAUCUAACUGCUCACUGCCCCUCUGACCGCUGGGGAACCGCACCACCUGCACCUCCUGCACCUCUGCCAGCUGUUUCCUGUGGCAAUUGCAAGCUUCCCUCGUGGCCUCAUUUAGU
This 1420-nucleotide long non-coding RNA is filed under the name Oryctolagus cuniculus (rabbit). RNAcentral's name for it is "lncRNA (ENSOCUG00000030343.1)". The record is from RNAcentral. Lineage: Eukaryota; Metazoa; Chordata; Mammalia; Lagomorpha; Leporidae.